CGAACGCUGGCGGCGGGCUUAACACAUGCAAGUCGAACGCGAACGUCACCUUCGGGUGGCUAUUAGAGUGGCGCACGGGUGAGUAACAGGUGGGUAAUCUACCCUACGGCCUGGGAUAACAUUCCGAAAGGGGUGCUAAUACCGGAUACGUUCUACGAGGCCUUGGCUUUGUAGAGGAAAGGCGGUCUUCGGAUUGUCACCGUUGGAUGAGCCCGCUUUCCAUCAGCUUGUUGGUAGGGUAACGGCCUACCAAGGCAACGACGGAUAGCUGGUCUGAGAGGAUGAUCAGCCACACUGGGACUGAGACACGGCCCAGACUCCUACGGGAGGCAGCAGUGGGGAAUUUUGGGCAAUGGGCGAAAGCCUGACCCAGCCACGCCGCGUGAGUGAUGAAGGCCUUCGGGUCGUAAAGCUCUGUCAGGAGGAACGAAACUAACGGGGUAAUGCCCGGAAUUGACGGUACCUCCAAAGGAAGCACCGGCUAACUCU
This 489-nucleotide ribosomal RNA is filed under the name uncultured bacterium. Its description in RNAcentral is "bacterial SSU rRNA". It matches the Rfam family "Bacterial small subunit ribosomal RNA", at positions 30 to 504 of the family's 1533-position model. The record is from RNAcentral.